Molecule: non-coding RNA, 32 nt
Filed under: Homo sapiens (human)
Lineage: Eukaryota; Metazoa; Chordata; Mammalia; Primates; Hominidae
Source: RNAcentral
UGGCAUUGGAGGUAACUUACUUAAGGUUACUC